Molecule: ribosomal RNA, 251 nt
Filed under: uncultured bacterium
Lineage: Bacteria
Description: partial 16S ribosomal RNA
Source: RNAcentral
CUGCUGCCUCCCGUAGGAGUUUGGGCCGUGUCUCAGUCCCAAUGUGGCCGGCCACCCUCUCAGGUCGGCUACUGAUCGUCGCCUUGGUGGGCCGUUACCCCGCCAACCAGCUAAUCAGACGCGGAUCCAUCUCAUACCGCCGGAGCUUUUCACUCAGGAGCAUGCGCUCCCGGGUGCUUAUGCGGUAUUAGCAGUCAUUUCUAACUGUUAUCCCCCUGUAUGAGGCAGGUUAUCCACGCGUUACUCACCCG